GAAACAGAAGCUCUGGCAAUAGUCGGCUGCUUGCUCAAGGUGACACAGUUAAUGGAGAGGCAGAUCUCUGGAUGCGGCGUCUCAGGGGCCACGCCUGCCUCCCCCGCCGCCGCGCGCAUACACAGAAUUCCUCAUGCUGCUGCUAUCACGGAACUCAGGGUUCAUCUCAAAGAUCUCUCUUUGCAUAAUGUGUGUGUGGACCUGCCUACAGAUACAUUGGGUGGAAGCCCUAGGAGCCUCAAGCAAGUCUGAAGAUUGGCCCUGAGAACCACUGUUCUCAUUAUCAGCAAGGAUUUUAUCCAGAGACCUCUAGGAAUACAUUCACUAAAAUGUGACUGUGGUCCUGUGGUUGUAUGAACUCUGGCUCUUCUCGUGAAUUACAUUUCACUGGAGUCAGGUGUUUUCUGUAAACAUCGUUAAACCACGAGACCAACUGCAUUGAA
This 443-nucleotide long non-coding RNA is filed under the name Homo sapiens (human). Its description in RNAcentral is "SOX9 antisense RNA 1". The record is from RNAcentral. Lineage: Eukaryota; Metazoa; Chordata; Mammalia; Primates; Hominidae.